RNAcentral lists this long non-coding RNA (509 nucleotides) under Pan troglodytes (chimpanzee). RNAcentral's name for it is "lncRNA (ENSPTRG00000053914.1)". The record is from RNAcentral. Lineage: Eukaryota; Metazoa; Chordata; Mammalia; Primates; Hominidae.
GAAAAUGGCCGACCGCUGGGGCUGCGGGAGGGAGUGAGGGCCGGGGGCGGGGACGGGGGUAGGGGAACACUACCAAGCAACAGGGCUGGUGUCAGCGGAGUCCAGAGAAGUGAGGGUAGGGUGAGAAACAAAAAGAUCUUGGGGCCGGAGGCCAGUCCAACCCUUGGAGCAGGAAGAAACGCAAAGUUGUCAAGAACCAAGGUCCUUGGUGUUGGUCCGUCGACCAAGCACUCACUUCUGAAGUUUGUCAGUCUUGAAGGUUUAGUGGAAGCGGAAACCGAGGUGAGAGAGGUAAGAAAUUGCUCCGGAGCAGAGGUAGUUGGUAUAAUGACACGGGGUGGGGGGGGUGGGGGGGCGGCGGUGUCCUGGUACCUUUGAGAUGGAGGAGUUGGCGGAGGCAAGGGCGGAGUUGGAGACCUUUAGGCAUUUCACGCCAGUACGGCUUUUAGAUAUUCUCACUUCAUUUUGUUACAAGGAAAAUGUUAACGAUGAAAAUGUGUGGCGACAUC